UAUCUUCAGGGCGAGGCGAAACUCCUCACCGGCGGUAAAGUCCGCGAGCCGAAAGGUUGAUUUGGUUAGAUUCCAAAACCGACAGUAUAGUCUGGAUGAAAGAAGAUG
RNAcentral lists this non-coding RNA (108 nucleotides) under pig gut metagenome. Its description in RNAcentral is "FMN riboswitch (RFN element)". It matches the Rfam family "FMN riboswitch aptamer (RFN element)". Rfam says of the family: The RFN element is a highly conserved domain that is found frequently in the 5'-untranslated regions of prokaryotic mRNAs that encode for flavin mononucleotide (FMN) biosynthesis and transport proteins. This element is a metabolite-dependent riboswitch that directly binds FMN in the absence of proteins. The record is from RNAcentral.